This 496-nucleotide ribosomal RNA is filed under the name uncultured bacterium. Its description in RNAcentral is "partial 16S ribosomal RNA". It matches the Rfam family "Bacterial small subunit ribosomal RNA", at positions 28 to 506 of the family's 1533-position model. The record is from RNAcentral.
GAUGAACGCUGGCGGCGUGCCUAAUACAUGCAAGUCGAGCGAACAGACGAGGAGCUUGCUCCUCUGACGUUAGCGGCGGACGGGUGAGUAACACGUGGAUAACCUACCUAUAAGACUGGGAUAACUUCGGGAAACCGGAGCUAAUACCGGAUAAUAUAUUGAACCGCAUGGUUCAAUAGUCAAAGACGGUUUUGCUGUCACUUAUAGAUGGAUCCGCGCCGCAUUAGCUAGUUGGUAAGGUAACGGCUUACCAAGGCGACGAUGCGUAGCCGACCUGAGAGGGUGAUCGGCCACACUGGAACUGAGACACGGUCCAGACUCCUACGGGAGGCAGCAGUAGGGAAUCUUCCGCAAUGGGCGAAAGCCUGACGGAGCAACGCCGCGUGAGUGAUGAAGGUCUUCGGAUCGUAAAACUCUGUUAUUAGGGAAGAACAAAUGUGUAAGUAACUAUGCACGUCUUGACGGUACCUAAUCAGAAAGCCACGGCUAACUACGU